This 625-nucleotide ribosomal RNA is filed under the name uncultured archaeon. RNAcentral's name for it is "bacterial SSU rRNA". It matches the Rfam family "Archaeal small subunit ribosomal RNA", at positions 147 to 774 of the family's 1478-position model. The record is from RNAcentral.
UAAUACCCCAUAGAUCAUGGCAUCUGGAAUGAGCUAUGGUUCAAAGUUCCGGCGCUUAAGGAUCGGUCUGCGGCCUAUCAGGUAGUAGUGGGUGUAAAGUACCUACUAGCCUAUGACGGGUAUGGGCCUUGAGAGAGGGAGCCCAGAGUUGGAUUCUGAGACACGAAUCCAGGCCCUACGGGGCGCAGCAGUCGCGAAAACUUCACACUGGGGGCAACCCCGAUGAGGGAAUUCCUAGUGCUAGCUCUUUUUGAGUUAGCUUUUCUUUAGCGUAGAUAACUAAAGGAAUAAGGGCUGGGUAAGACGGGUGCCAGCCGCCGCGGUAAUACCUGCAGCCCAAGUGGUGGCCGAUAGUAUUGAGUCUAAAACGUUCGUAGCCGGUCUGAUAAUCUUUGGGUAAAUCGGGAAGCUUAACUUUCCGACUUCCGAGGAGACUGUCAGACUUGGGACCGGGAGAGGCUAGAGGUACUUCUGGGGUAGGGGUAAAAUCCUGUAAUCCUAGAAGGACCACCGGUGGCGAAGGCGUCUAGCUAGAACGGAUCCGACGGUGAGGGACGAAGCCCUGGGGCGCAAACGGGAUUAGAUACCCCGGUAGUCCAGGGUGUAAACGCUGCAGACUUGGUGU